AAUUUUCAGAUUCGUUCAGAGAAGAAUGCUAUAAAUAGGUCAAAGUUGACACAUCACCACAAAGCUGGGUCAAAGUCAUUUAUGUCUCACCAAGAGCAAAUUGCAGCACAGACUGGAGAGAUGCAAGGUGCAAUUGAUCGCUUUGAAACAGAGUACAAAAGCACUAAAAAAGGUUGGGACUUGGGAGCAAAAGCAAAGUGGGAUGAAAUGAUUAAGAUGCGAACUGAGACAACUCAACCUGAUGGAA
Molecule: long non-coding RNA, 247 nt
Organism: Rosa rugosa (rugosa rose)
Lineage: Eukaryota; Viridiplantae; Streptophyta; Magnoliopsida; Rosales; Rosaceae
Exons: 3
Source: RefSeq, a predicted model, not a curated record